CUUAGAAGCAGCCAUCAUUUAAAGAAAGCGUAAUAGCUCACUGGUCGAGUCGGCCUGCGCGGAAGAUGUAACGGGGCUAAACCAUGCACCGAAGCUGCGGCAGCGACACUAUGUGUUGUUGGGUAGGGGAGCGUUCUGUAAGCCUGCGAAGGUGACCUGUGAGGGUUGCUGGAGGUAUCAGAAGUGCGAAUGCUGACAUAAGUAACGAUAAAGCGGGUGAAAAGCCCGCUCGCCGGAAGACCAAGGGUUCCUGUCCAACGUUAAUCGGGGCAGGGUGAGUCGACCCCUAAGGCGAGGCCGAAAGGCGUAGUCGAUGGGAAACAGGUUAAUAUUCCUGUACUUGGUGUUACUGCGAAGGGGGGACGGAGAAGGCUAUGUUAGCCGGGCGACGGUUGUCCCGGUUUAAGCAUGUAGGCUG
This 418-nucleotide ribosomal RNA is filed under the name Klebsiella pneumoniae. RNAcentral's name for it is "partial 23S ribosomal RNA". It matches the Rfam family "Bacterial large subunit ribosomal RNA", at positions 1105 to 1527 of the family's 2925-position model. Lineage: Bacteria; Pseudomonadati; Pseudomonadota; Gammaproteobacteria; Enterobacterales; Enterobacteriaceae. The record is from RNAcentral.